This 465-nucleotide ribosomal RNA is filed under the name uncultured bacterium. RNAcentral's name for it is "partial 16S ribosomal RNA". It matches the Rfam family "Bacterial small subunit ribosomal RNA", at positions 338 to 795 of the family's 1533-position model. The record is from RNAcentral.
CCUACGGGAGGCAGCAGUAGGGAAUAUUGCACAAUGGGCGCAAGCCUGAUGGAGCAACACCGCGUGAGUGAAGAAGGGUUUCGGCUCGUAAAGCUCUGUUGUUGGAGAAGAACGUGAGGGAGAGUAACUGUUCACGCAGUGACGGUAUCCAACCAGCAAGUCACGGCUAACUACGUGCGAGCAGCAGCGGUAAUACGUAGGUGGCAAGCGGUAGCCGGAUUGAUGGGGCGUAAAGCGAGCGCAGGCGGUUGCUUAGGUCUGAGGUGAAAGCCUUCGGCUUAACCGAAGAAGUGCAUCGGAGACCGGGCGACUUGAGUGCAGAAGAGGACAGUGGAAUGCCAUGUGUAGCGGUGGAAUGCGUAGAUAUCUGGAAGAACACCAGUGGCGAAGGCGGCUGUCUGGUCUGCAACUGACGCUGAGGCUCGAAAGCGUGGGUAGCGAACAGGAUUAGAUACCCUUGUAGUC